This 183-nucleotide ribosomal RNA is filed under the name uncultured bacterium. Its description in RNAcentral is "partial 16S ribosomal RNA". It matches the Rfam family "Bacterial small subunit ribosomal RNA", at positions 1318 to 1500 of the family's 1533-position model. The record is from RNAcentral.
GCGUGAAGUUGGAAUCGCUAGUAAUCGCGGAUCAGCAUGCCGCGGUGAAUACGUUCCCGGGCCUUGUACACACCGCCCGUCACACCAUGAGAGUCGGGAACACCCGAAGUCCGUAGCCUAACCGCAAGGGGGGCGCGGCCGAAGGUGGGUUCGAUAAUUGGGGUGAAGUCGUAACAAGGUAGC